RNAcentral lists this small RNA (80 nucleotides) under Flavobacterium sp. 9. Its description in RNAcentral is "Flavo-1 RNA". It matches the Rfam family "Flavo-1 RNA". The record is from RNAcentral. Lineage: Bacteria; Pseudomonadati; Bacteroidota; Flavobacteriia; Flavobacteriales; Flavobacteriaceae.
CCCUAGCCCUGAUAGAAGCGGCAUCCUUUUAUUUUUUUUCUUUAAAAAAAUAAAAGAUACAGCGGAUAGCAGGAUUAGCU